UGGAUGAUGUGGUUAAUUCGAUGCAACGCGAAAACCUUUACCACCUUUGACAUGUACGGAAUCCUUUAGAGAUAGAGGAGUGCUCGAAAGAGAGCCGUAACACAGGGUGCUGCAUGGCUGUCGUCAGCUCGUGUCGUGAGAUGUUGGGUUAAGUCCCCGCAACGAGCGCAACCCUUUGUCAUUAGUUGCUACAUUCAGUUGGGCACUCUAAUGAGACUGCCGGUGACAAACCGGAGGAAGUGGGGAUGACGUCAAGUCCUCAUGGCCCUUAUAGGUGGGGCUACACACGUCAUACAAUGGAUGGUACAAAGGGUCGCCAACCCGCGAGGGGGAGCCAAUCCCAUAAAGCCAUUCGUAGUCCGGAUCGCAGUCUGCAACUCGACUGCGUGAAGUCGGAAUCGCUAGUAAUCGUGGAUCAGAAUGUCACGGUGAAUACGUUCCCGGGUCUU
RNAcentral lists this ribosomal RNA (449 nucleotides) under uncultured Acidovorax sp. RNAcentral describes it as "bacterial SSU rRNA". It matches the Rfam family "Bacterial small subunit ribosomal RNA", at positions 933 to 1382 of the family's 1533-position model. The record is from RNAcentral. Lineage: Bacteria; Pseudomonadati; Pseudomonadota; Betaproteobacteria; Burkholderiales; Comamonadaceae.